This 56-nucleotide non-coding RNA is filed under the name Enterobacter kobei. RNAcentral describes it as "ClpQY promoter". It matches the Rfam family "ClpQY promoter". The record is from RNAcentral. Lineage: Bacteria; Pseudomonadati; Pseudomonadota; Gammaproteobacteria; Enterobacterales; Enterobacteriaceae.
CCCCGUACACUGUACGGGGCUUCUAAUCCGUUUAUGCAACAAGGGGUCUGCUCGUG